GCGGGAAAAAGUAGCCUUGCUACUUUUKCCCGGCCGAGCGGCGGACGGGUGAGUAAUGCCUGGGAAAUUGCCCAGUCGAGGGGGAUAACAGUUGGAAACGACUGCUAAUACCGCAUACGCCCUACGGGGGAAAGCAGGGGACCUUCGGGCCUUGCGCGAUUGGAUAUGCCCAGGUGGGAUUAGACUAGUUGGUGAGGUAAUGGCUCACCAAGGCGACGAUCCCUAGCUGGUCUGAGAGGAUGAUCAGCCACACUGGAACUGAGACACGGUCCAGACUCCUACGGGAGGCAGCAGUGGGGAAUAUUGCACAAUGGGGGAAACCCUGAUGCAGCCAUGCCGCGUGUGUGAAGAAGGCCUUCGGGUUGUAAAGCACUUUCAGCGAGGAGGAAAGGUCAGUAGCUAAUAUCUGCUGACUGGGACGUACCGCUAAGA
This 432-nucleotide ribosomal RNA is filed under the name Aeromonas sp. 08039. RNAcentral describes it as "bacterial SSU rRNA". It matches the Rfam family "Bacterial small subunit ribosomal RNA", at positions 66 to 488 of the family's 1533-position model. The record is from RNAcentral. Lineage: Bacteria; Pseudomonadati; Pseudomonadota; Gammaproteobacteria; Aeromonadales; Aeromonadaceae.